AUUGAACGCUGGCGGCAGGCCUAACACAUGCAAGUCGAGCGAGCGGCGGACGGGUGAGUAAUGUCUGGGAAACUGCCCGAUGGAGGGGGAUAACUAAUGGAAAAGGUAGCUAAUACCGCAUACCAUCAGAUGUGCCCAGAUGGGAUUAGCUAGUAGGUGGGGUAAUGGCUCACCUAGGCGACGAUCCCUAGCUGGUCUGAGAGGAUGACCAGCCACACGGGAACGUAUACACGGUCCAGACUCCUACGGGAGGCAGCAGUGGGGAAUAUUGCACAAUGGGCGCAAGCCUGAUGCAGCCAUGCCGCGUGUGUGAAGAAGGCCUUCGGGUUGUAAGGCACUUUCAGCGAGGAGGCGUUACUCGCAGAAGAAGCACCGGCUAACUCCGUGCCAGCAGCCGCGGUAAUAC
RNAcentral lists this ribosomal RNA (406 nucleotides) under uncultured bacterium. RNAcentral describes it as "partial 16S ribosomal RNA". It matches the Rfam family "Bacterial small subunit ribosomal RNA", at positions 30 to 526 of the family's 1533-position model. The record is from RNAcentral.